Molecule: ribosomal RNA, 497 nt
Filed under: uncultured bacterium
Lineage: Bacteria
Description: partial 16S ribosomal RNA
Rfam family: Bacterial small subunit ribosomal RNA
Source: RNAcentral
GACGAACGCUGGCGGCGUGCCUAAUACAUGCAAGUUGAGCGCUGAAGGUUGGUACUUGUGCCAACUGGAUGAGCAGCGAACGGGUGAGUAACGCGUGGGGAAUCUGCCUUUGAGCGGGGGACAACAUUUGGAAACGAAUGCUAAUACCGCAUAAAAACUUUAAACACAAGUUUUAAGUUUGAAAGAUGCAAUUGCAUCACUCAAAGACGAUCCCGCGUUGUAUUAGCUAGUUGGUGAGGUAAAGGCUCACCAAGGCGAUGAUACAUAGCCGACCUGAGAGGGUGGUCGGCCACCUUGGGACUGAGACACGGCCCAAACUCCUACGGGAGGCAGCAGUAGGGAAUCUUCGGCAAUGGACGGAAGUCUGACCGAGCAACGCCGCGUGAGUGAAGAAGGUUUUCGGAUCGUAAAACUCUGUUGGUAGAGAAGAACGUUGGUGAGAGUGGAAAGCUCAUCAAGUGACGGUAACUACCCAGAAAGGGACGGCUAACUACGUG